GACGAACGCUGGCGGCGUGCUUAACACAUGCAAGUCGAACGGGUCUGCCCUGAUUUUUGCGGGGUGGGUCAGUGGCGAACGGGUGAGUAACACGUGAGUAACCUGCCCCUCACUUCUGGAUAACCGCCGGAAAGGGGGGCUAAUACGGGGUGUUCUGGCUGUGCCGCAUGGUGUGGCUGGGAAAGAUGCAUUUUUGUGGUGUUUUGGUGGGGGAUGGGCUCGCGGCCUAUCUGGUUGAUGGGGGGGUGAUGGCCUGCCAAGGCUUUGACGGGUAGCCGGCCUAGGGGGGUGGGCGGCCCCAGUGGGACUGAGAGACCGCCCAGACUCCUGGGGGAGGCAGCAGUGGGGGGUAUUGCACAAUGGGCGGAAGGCUGAUGCAGCGACGUCGCGUGAGGGAUGGAGGCCGUCGGGUUGUGAACCUCUUUCGCCGGUGAAGAAGGUCCUGCUCUUUGUGGUGGGGUUGACGGUAGCCGGGUUAUGAAGCGCCGGCUAACUACGUG
RNAcentral lists this ribosomal RNA (500 nucleotides) under uncultured bacterium. Its description in RNAcentral is "partial 16S ribosomal RNA". It matches the Rfam family "Bacterial small subunit ribosomal RNA", at positions 28 to 507 of the family's 1533-position model. The record is from RNAcentral.